Corticium candelabrum is the source of this 298-nucleotide long non-coding RNA. RefSeq lists it as uncharacterized. The transcript has 3 exons. Lineage: Eukaryota; Metazoa; Porifera; Homoscleromorpha; Homosclerophorida; Plakinidae. The record is from RefSeq and is a predicted model, not a curated record.
CGACGAUCAAGGCAAACCCAUGUUACUCUGUUACUCAAGCUGAAGAGUUGCAAUAUACUACUGGUAUCUGUUCACGUGAUCGUCCAGCUACAUAAAGAUUACAGCGAGUCGUCUGCAGUGUAGGCUUCAAAGUCUGAUUCUUCCAAGAGUGCUACAUCUUCUUCCUUCUGUUCUGUGCCAUCCGCCGGUCUCAGCUCACUGAUUGUGAUUGGUCAUUACUGAGAUUUGAAGAUUUUAUGGAAAACGUUUCUUUGCCGGAAUACACACGGCGAGACUGUCGGCUAAAUCUUGCAGCCAG